This 113-nucleotide ribosomal RNA is filed under the name Circinella umbellata. RNAcentral's name for it is "5.8S ribosomal RNA". It matches the Rfam family "5.8S ribosomal RNA", at positions 51 to 154 of the family's 154-position model. From Rfam's summary of the family: 5.8S ribosomal RNA (5.8S rRNA) is a component of the large subunit of the eukaryotic ribosome. It is transcribed by RNA polymerase I as part of the 45S precursor that also contains 18S and 28S rRNA. Lineage: Eukaryota; Fungi; Mucoromycota; Mucoromycetes; Mucorales; Lichtheimiaceae. The record is from RNAcentral.
AAUUGCGAUAAUUAAUGCGAAUUGCAGACUUUGUGAAUCAUCGAGUUCUUGAACGCACCUUGCACCUAGUGGUUUAUUCUACUAGGUACGGUUGUUUCAGUAUCACAAAACUC